UUUGUUUGUAUGGAGGCAGUACCUCCAAACUGCACAUAGCCACUCUUUGGAAAGUGGGCUUUGAGAUGUGAGGGGAUGAGUCCAGCCUUCCUAUUGCUGCUGUCGCUUGAUACCUGGGUUUGGAGGUAUGGGUGCAUGCCCACAAUGGCUGUGUUGCCUCCUUUUUGCUGCUGGAAGUUCCCAUCAAACUGCCCACCUCAAGAGUCUCUUUUUUUCCCCUACACCUAAAGAGCGCCUUGCGAGCAGGACCUGGAGAUGGCUGGCUCUGAAGCCUUUUUGCAGGCCCUGUGUGAGAAGCUGAGGAUUUCAUUAAAUCUGUAAUCCUUUGCAUAUCUAUGACUAUGCAGAAGCAAACAUGAGAUUUCCAGGUAUUUCCAGUUCUUGGAAACACUUACUUCCAGGAUGUUUUCUCACCCUCCUUCCCCUAGGAGGUGCUCUGAGAUAAUUUCCCACUGUUGAUAAACCGAUUCUGCUUUAUACAUGUCUGAAAGCUGCACAAACAGCCUGUACCUCUCUAGGAAAGUUACCUGUCCCAGGAGGGAUUUGCCAGUGCCAAAGAUGGGUUAUCCAUCAUGAUCAAAAUGUGUUAUGGAGACAAGUGUGGAGUCUUGGGGACUUGCCUGAGAAGUUGGGUAAUUGGUUGCAUGUGAGGCCGCUUAAUCACUGUCAACUUGUGUGUUGAGUGGAUGAAAAGAGUCUUGUGGUGGUUUGGGGCUGUCUGGAGGGGAUGUGCAGUGCUGCAGAGCAGUUCGGGAGUUGCUGUUAUGGUCAGCAUGAAUUAUGCUCGUCAAAUCAUAGGAAUAUGGUGUAAAGACUGUAUCCAUGUCCCAAAACAUGCUCAAGAUGGCACAGGACUGAUGGGCAGGUAGGUAGACAUUUGUCAUUAGUGCUCAUCUGGGGGAAGUGUGAGUGAGCUAUGAUGACCUCACAUCAGGUUGGUACCUAAAGCUAGGUGGAAGAAACUGGGCUUUGAUUUCUCAGCAUGGCAACUCUUGUCCUUUAGCGGUCUUGUCUGUAAAUUGGGGUAAUUCUGCCCUACCCUCACAGGAGCAUGUUAAAUUUAGUGUUUGUGGGGCACUGAGACUGAACAGUGGUGAGCAGGAUACGUGAAGGGAGGUGAAAGUAAGAGCACUGUGCAGACAGCAAAGCUGAGGAGCCCAUGCUGAGCAAGGGAGUUUGAAAGAAAACAGUGAGAAGCUGUUAAAUGAGUCCUGUCCUUCCUGAGUGCUGACUGAGGCUGGGAUCUUGUGGAGCAAUAAUCCAUGAACUGUAUUUUAAUGCUAGCUACACUGUAAGCUUCUAUGUUAUGGUUGGUUUGGCUUUUGUUCAGUAUAGCUCAAGUGGGGAUGGGUAUAAAUACUGUCAUGAGGCAUAUGGGGAGGAUGCUGAGCACAUGGGAGAUACAACUGGUGCUCUGUGCAUGAUGGCCCCUCUGAGCAGCUUUCCUCUUCAGCUGGGCUGCUGUGAGUACAUGGGUGAGCACAGGGAUAGUGAUCAAGAGUAAUUUUUGUAAGAAAUGGCAAGCCUACAAUGAUGGAUAUUAUCUUUCUGUGAAGAACUUGUGGAGCCUGAUGGAAAACUGCCAUUUUGCCAGUUGAUGGAAAUAAUUUCCCUGAUAAACUAUUUGCAACUACUUGGUAAUCAGCUUUCUCCAGCUCAUGUCAUGCCAUCUGGAAAUGCCCAAAGCCUGGCUAUUAACAACUGGCUUUCAGCUCAGCAGGAAGACUUUGGACUCUUGAUUUGCUGAUUUGCUAAUCAAAGAAGCAGGCAGAUGCUGCUGCUGUUGGAGCUUGUGGUGUGAAAUAAAGCAUGCUUACAUCUGAGGGAAACAUUACUGUGUGGGACACUCCAGCUCCCACCAGCCUUCUAUCCACCCUCCUGUGCAUGAAAAGCAGGCUGUGUACAGUCGUGAAUCAAGCAUGGAUGGGUAGCUCCCCCCUUCCACUUCAGACUGUUUAGGUUUGGGGUUGUCCAAGCGGCUUGGGAAUGCAGCACUUGGCUCCCACAGUGGGCUGGUACCAAACACCCCUGCAGGCAGUUUGAAAGCUCCAGGGAAAGCUUUUCUGUCCAGAGCAUUAACUUUUAUUGAUUUUUUUCUUU
Long non-coding RNA from Oxyura jamaicensis (ruddy duck), 2100 nucleotides. RefSeq lists it as uncharacterized. NCBI's taxonomy places the organism in Eukaryota, Metazoa, Chordata, Aves, Anseriformes, Anatidae. The transcript has 4 exons. The record is from RefSeq and is a predicted model, not a curated record.